This 222-nucleotide ribosomal RNA is filed under the name uncultured bacterium. RNAcentral's name for it is "partial 16S ribosomal RNA". It matches the Rfam family "Bacterial small subunit ribosomal RNA", at positions 524 to 743 of the family's 1533-position model. The record is from RNAcentral.
UACGUAGGGUGCAAGCGUUGUCCGGAAUUAUUGGGCGUAAAGAGCUCGUAGGCGGUCUGUCGCGUCGGCUGUGAAAACCCGGAGCUCAACUCCGGGCCUGCAGUCGAUACGGGCAAACUGGAGUACUGCAGGGGAGACUGGAAUUCCUGGUGUAGCGGUGAAAUGCGCAGAUAUCAGGAGGAACACCUGUGGCGAAGGCCGGCCCCCUGGGCCCGGCCCUGA